UGAGCCAAGUUUAGGGUUUUCUCAAAACCCAAGCAGUAUUGAACUGAAGAGUUUGAUCAUGGCUCAGAUUGAACGCUGGCGGCAGGCCUAACACAUGCAAGUCGAGCGGAUGAAGGGAGCUUGCUCCUGGAUUCAGCGGCGGACGGGUGAGUAAUGCCUAGGAAUCUGCCUGGUAGUGGGG
This 181-nucleotide ribosomal RNA is filed under the name Pseudomonas aeruginosa. RNAcentral describes it as "partial 16S ribosomal RNA". The stretch from base 41 to 181 matches the Rfam family "Bacterial small subunit ribosomal RNA", at positions 1 to 141 of the family's 1533-position model. The record is from RNAcentral. Lineage: Bacteria; Pseudomonadati; Pseudomonadota; Gammaproteobacteria; Pseudomonadales; Pseudomonadaceae.